UACGUGUGGUCCUAGCGUUGUCCGGAAUAACUGGGCGUAAAGGGUGUGUAGGCGGACAUCCGUGUCAGGUGUGAAAUCCCCCGGCUUAACUGGGGCAUUGCGCUUGAAACUGGAUGUCUGGAGCGUGUCAGGGGUAAGCGGAAUUCCCGGAGUAGCGGUGAAAUGCGUAGAUAUCGGGAAGAACACCGGUGGCGAAGGCGGCUUACUGGGGCAUAGCUGACGCUGAGGCACGAAAGCGUGGGGAGCGAACGGG
RNAcentral lists this ribosomal RNA (253 nucleotides) under uncultured bacterium. RNAcentral's name for it is "partial 16S ribosomal RNA". It matches the Rfam family "Bacterial small subunit ribosomal RNA", at positions 524 to 776 of the family's 1533-position model. The record is from RNAcentral.